UACGGAGGGGGCUAGCGUUGUUCGGAAUUACUGGGCGUAAAGCGCGCGUAGGCGGCUUUGUAAGUUAGAGGUGAAAGCCCGGAGCUCAACUCCGGAACUGCCUUUAAGACUGCAUCGCUAGAAUUGUGGAGAGGUGAGUGGAAUUCCGAGUGUAGAGGUGAAAUUCGUAGAUAUUCGGAAGAACACCAGUGGCGAAGGCGACUCACUGGACACAUAUUGACGCUGAGGUGCGAAAGCGUGGGGAGCGAACCGG
This 253-nucleotide ribosomal RNA is filed under the name uncultured bacterium. RNAcentral's name for it is "partial 16S ribosomal RNA". It matches the Rfam family "Bacterial small subunit ribosomal RNA", at positions 524 to 776 of the family's 1533-position model. The record is from RNAcentral.